Molecule: ribosomal RNA, 605 nt
Filed under: Enterococcus faecium
Lineage: Bacteria; Bacillati; Bacillota; Bacilli; Lactobacillales; Enterococcaceae
Description: bacterial SSU rRNA
Rfam family: Bacterial small subunit ribosomal RNA
Source: RNAcentral
CGGGGGCCCGCACAAGCGGUGGAGCAUGUGGUUUAAUUCGAAGCAACGCGAAGAACCUUACCAGGUCUUGACAUCCUUUGACCACUCUAGAGAUAGAGCUUCCCCUUCGGGGGCAAAGUGACAGGUGGUGCAUGGUUGUCGUCAGCUCGUGUCGUGAGAUGUUGGGUUAAGUCCCGCAACGAGCGCAACCCUUAUUGUUAGUUGCCAUCAUUCAGUUGGGCACUCUAGCAAGACUGCCGGUGACAAACCGGAGGAAGGUGGGGAUGACGUCAAAUCAUCAUGCCCCUUAUGACCUGGGCUACACACGUGCUACAAUGGGAAGUACAACGAGUUGCGAAGUCGCGAGGCUAAGCUAAUCUCUUAAAGCUUCUCUCAGUUCGGAUUGCAGGCUGCAACUCGCCUGCAUGAAGCCGGAAUCGCUAGUAAUCGCGGAUCAGCACGCCGCGGUGAAUACGUUCCCGGGCCUUGUACACACCGCCCGUCACACCACGAGAGUUUGUAACACCCGAAGUCGGUGAGGUAACCUUUUGGAGCCAGCCGCCUAAGGUGGGAUAGAUGAUUGGGGUGAAGUCGUAACAAGGUAGCCGUAUCGGAAGGUGCGGCUG